This is a long non-coding RNA of Thalassophryne amazonica, 433 nucleotides long. RefSeq lists it as uncharacterized. Lineage: Eukaryota; Metazoa; Chordata; Actinopteri; Batrachoidiformes; Batrachoididae. The transcript has 3 exons. The record is from RefSeq and is a predicted model, not a curated record.
ACGGGUACUCAGGAGCAUAUGUUAUCCAAGACUGUCAUAGACCAUUCUUGUCUGAUUGUGGUAUAUGAGUCUUUUCUUUGUAUGCUAUGUACAGAAACCAAACAUUUGCAACAAAACAAGACAUCCCAAUACACAUAUGUUAUUUAUCAUCACAAACAGCAAUAUUGUUGGGCAUUUAACAAAUAAUUAAAUAUAAUAAUCAUAGUAUGUUAAAGGAAACCUGAGUGGGAAAAUGAAUAAAAAACAGCAGCAGUAAUUAGUAGUAAACCCUGAAAGUGUUACCAACCUUGGUACAGGUUGUGAUCUUGACCUUGCACUACAAAGUUGAUGUUAUAAUUGGAUAUUCCACAGCUCAAAAUAUAGGAAUCCAUGUCUCAUUUGUUGUUGUACCAUUUUUAGAUUUUCAUCUAGCUCACUGUUCUACUUUGGUUCA